RNAcentral lists this ribosomal RNA (465 nucleotides) under uncultured bacterium. RNAcentral's name for it is "bacterial SSU rRNA". It matches the Rfam family "Bacterial small subunit ribosomal RNA", at positions 28 to 492 of the family's 1533-position model. The record is from RNAcentral.
GAUGAACGCUAGCGGCAGGCUUAACACAUGCAAGUCGAGGGGUAUUGGUUUUCGGACCAAGAGACCGGCGCACGGGUGCGUAACGCGUAUGCAAUCUACCUUUUGCAGAGGGAUAGCCCAGAGAAAUUUGGAUUAAUACCUCAUAGUAUAGUACUUUGGCAUCAAGGAACUAUUAAAGUCACAACGGCAAAAGAUGAGCAUGCGUCCCAUUAGCUAGUUGGUAAGGUAACGGCUUACCAAGGCUACGAUGGGUAGGGGUCCUGAGAGGGAGAUCCCCCACACUGGUACUGAGACACGGACCAGACUCCUACGGGAGGCAGCAGUGAGGAAUAUUGGACAAUGGGGCGCAAGCCUGAUCCAGCCAUGCCGCGUGCAGGAUGACGGUCCUAUGGAUUGUAAACUGACUUUUAUACAGGAAGAAACACUCCGACGUGUCGGAGCUUGACGGUACUGUAAGAAUAAGGA